CCUACGGGAAGCAGCAGUGGGGAAUAUUGGACAAUGGGGGCAACCCUGAUCCAGCCAUGCCGCGUGUGUGAAGAAGGCCCUCGGGUUGUAAAGCACUUUCAGUGAGGAAGAACGCCUGGUGGUUAAUACCCAUCAGGAAAGACAUCACUCACAGAAGAAGCACCGGCUAACUCCGUGCCAGCAGCCGCGGUAAUACGGAGGGUGCGAGCGUUAAUCGGAAUUACUGGGCGUAAAGCGCGCGUAGGUGGCUUGAUAAGCCGGUUGUGAAAGCCCCGGGCUCAACCUGGGAACGGCAUCCGGAACUGUCAAGCUAGAGUGCAGGAGAGGAAGGUAGAAUUCCCGGUGUAGCGGUGAAAUGCGUAGAGAUCGGGAGGAAUACCAGUGGCGAAGGCGGCCUUCUGGACUGACACUGACACUGAGGUGCGAAAGCGUGGGUAGCAAACAGGAUUAGAUACCCCGGUAGUC
Molecule: ribosomal RNA, 465 nt
Filed under: Vreelandella stevensii
Lineage: Bacteria; Pseudomonadati; Pseudomonadota; Gammaproteobacteria; Oceanospirillales; Halomonadaceae
Description: partial 16S ribosomal RNA
Rfam family: Bacterial small subunit ribosomal RNA
Source: RNAcentral